GACGAACGCUGGCGGCGUGCUUAACACAUGCAAGUCGAACGGAAAGGCCCUGCUUUUGUGGGGUGCUCGAGUGGCGAACGGGUGAGUAACACGUGAGUAACCUGCCCUUGACUUUGGGAUAACUUCAGGAAACUGGGGCUAAUACCGGAUAGGAGCUCCUGCUGCAUGGUGGGGGUUGGAAAGUUUCGGCGGUUGGGGAUGGACUCGCGGCUUAUCAGCUUGUUGGUGGGGUAGUGGCUUACCAAGGCUUUGACGGGUAGCCGGCCUGAGAGGGUGACCGGCCACAUUGGGACUGAGAUACGGCCCAGACUCCUACGGGAGGCAGCAGUGGGGAAUAUUGCACAAUGGGCGGAAGCCUGAUGCAGCAACGCCGCGUGCGGGAAGACGGCCUUCGGGUUGUAAACCGCUUACGCCUGUGACGAAGCGUGAGUGACGGUAAUGGGUAAAGAAGCACCGGCUAACUACGUG
RNAcentral lists this ribosomal RNA (468 nucleotides) under uncultured bacterium. RNAcentral's name for it is "partial 16S ribosomal RNA". It matches the Rfam family "Bacterial small subunit ribosomal RNA", at positions 28 to 507 of the family's 1533-position model. The record is from RNAcentral.